This 301-nucleotide ribosomal RNA is filed under the name uncultured bacterium. RNAcentral's name for it is "partial 16S ribosomal RNA". It matches the Rfam family "Bacterial small subunit ribosomal RNA", at positions 509 to 809 of the family's 1533-position model. The record is from RNAcentral.
CAGUAGCCGCGGUAAUACAGAGGGUGCGAGCGUUAAUCGGAUUUACUGGGCGUAAAGCGUGCGUAGGCGGCUUUUUAAGUCGGAUGUGAAAUCCCUGAGCUUAACUUAGGAAUUGCAUUCGAUACUGGGAAGCUAGAGUAUGGGAGAGGAUGGUAGAAUUCCAGGUGUAGCGGUGAAAUGCGUAGAGAUCUGGAGGAAUACCGAUGGCGAAGGCAGCCAUUUGGCCUAAUACUGACGCUGAGGUACGAAAGCAUGGGGAGCAAACAGGAUUAGAUACCCCAGUAGUCCCUGUCUCUUAUAA